ACGGAAUAGAUACCCAGGUAGUCCACGCCCUAAACGAUGUCUACUAGUUGUCGGGUCUUAAUUGACUUGGUAAACGCAGCUAAACGCGUGAAGUAGACCGCCUGGGGAGUACGGUCGCAAGAUUAAAACUCAAAGGAAUUGACGGGGACCCGGCACAAGCGGUGGAUGAUGUGGAUUAAUUCGAUGCAACGCGAAAAACCUUAACCUACCCUUGACAUGGAAGGGAAAUCCCUGAGAGAUUGGGGUAGUGCUCGAAAGAGAACCUUUACACAGGUGCUGCAUGGCUGUCGUCAGCUCGUGUCGUGAGAUGUUGGGUUAAGUCCCGCAACGAGCGCAACCCUUGUCAUUAGUUGCUACGAAAGGGGCACUCUAAUGAGACUGCCGGUGACAAACC
This 394-nucleotide ribosomal RNA is filed under the name uncultured bacterium. RNAcentral describes it as "bacterial SSU rRNA". It matches the Rfam family "Bacterial small subunit ribosomal RNA", at positions 772 to 1164 of the family's 1533-position model. The record is from RNAcentral.